Molecule: ribosomal RNA, 146 nt
Filed under: uncultured eukaryote
Lineage: Eukaryota
Description: partial small subunit ribosomal RNA
Rfam family: Eukaryotic small subunit ribosomal RNA
Source: RNAcentral
AGUUGGUGGAGUGAUUUGUCUGCUUGAUUGCGUUAACGAACGAGACCUCGAGGAUUAAAUAACUAGCUUUAAGACUUGUUCGUAAUGUUAGUUUCUUAAUUCGACAAUCUGUUUCAAGCAGAGGGAAGCGCGAGGCGAUAUCAGGU